RNAcentral lists this ribosomal RNA (468 nucleotides) under uncultured bacterium. Its description in RNAcentral is "partial 16S ribosomal RNA". It matches the Rfam family "Bacterial small subunit ribosomal RNA", at positions 28 to 507 of the family's 1533-position model. The record is from RNAcentral.
GACGAACGCUGGCGGCGUGCUUAACACAUGCAAGUCGAACGAAAAGGCCCUGCUUUUGUUGCGUUCUCGAGUGGCGAACGGGUGUGUAACACGUGAGUAUCCUCCCCUUGACUUUGGGGUAACUUCAGGAAACUGGGGCUAAUACACGAUAGGAGAUCCUGCUGCAUGUUGGGGGUUGAAAAAUUUCGGCGGUUGUGGAUGGACUCGCGGCUUAUCAGCUUGUUGGGGGGGUAGUGGCUUACCAGGGGUUUGACGGGUAGCCUGCCUGAGAGGGUGAACGGGCACAUUGGGACUGAGAUACGGACCAGACUCGUACGGGAGGCAGUAGUGGGAAAUAUUGCACAAUGGGCGGAAGCCUGAUGCAGCAACGCCGCGUGCGUGAUGACGGGUUUCGGGUUGUAAACCGCUUUCGCAUGUGACGAAGCGUGAGUGACGGUAACGGGUAAAGAAGCAACGGCUAACUACGUG